RNAcentral lists this ribosomal RNA (162 nucleotides) under Iris ruthenica. RNAcentral's name for it is "5.8S ribosomal RNA". It matches the Rfam family "5.8S ribosomal RNA". From Rfam's summary of the family: 5.8S ribosomal RNA (5.8S rRNA) is a component of the large subunit of the eukaryotic ribosome. It is transcribed by RNA polymerase I as part of the 45S precursor that also contains 18S and 28S rRNA. The record is from RNAcentral. Lineage: Eukaryota; Viridiplantae; Streptophyta; Magnoliopsida; Asparagales; Iridaceae. RNAcentral also lists the same sequence under 1 other name.
CUAAACGACUCUCGGCAACGGAUAUCUCGGCUCUCGCAUCGAUGAAGAACGUAGCGAAAUGCGAUACUUGGUGUGAAUUGCAGAAUCCCGUGAACCAUCGAGUCUUUGAACGCAAGUUGCGCCCGAGGCCUCCUGGUCGAGGGCACGUCUGCCUGGGUGUCA